UAUUGGAGGUGAUCAGAUUUCUGUGUCUCUGUAGGUUUGCUUCCCACUAUGACCCUUCCGAAUCUGUGACACCCUCCCCCAGAGCUAUAGGAUUUCCAUGUUUGAAGCUUCAUGAAAGAUUUGGAUGUUCAGCUGGUGUGUGAUUAUCCCAUCACUUACACAUGAAAGCAGCUGGAGAGGUGUACGUCUCUGAAGAAACCCAUGUUUUUCCAAGCAUGGCCUGUUGCCAAUCCCAGGUCUGUAACCACUGAAAAAUGAACACGAUGAGAAUAUGAAAAAAACCCAGAGAUCAUCUGUGCUGGUCCGGUCCCUGUGUCCCUG
This 321-nucleotide long non-coding RNA is filed under the name Calidris pugnax (ruff). RNAcentral's name for it is "lncRNA (ENSCPUG00000008697.1)". The record is from RNAcentral. Lineage: Eukaryota; Metazoa; Chordata; Aves; Charadriiformes; Scolopacidae.